Molecule: non-coding RNA, 28 nt
Filed under: Mus musculus (house mouse)
Lineage: Eukaryota; Metazoa; Chordata; Mammalia; Rodentia; Muridae
Source: RNAcentral
UGCCUAAGCUGUGAAUGACUGUGCUGGG